This 492-nucleotide ribosomal RNA is filed under the name uncultured bacterium. RNAcentral's name for it is "partial 16S ribosomal RNA". It matches the Rfam family "Bacterial small subunit ribosomal RNA", at positions 29 to 507 of the family's 1533-position model. The record is from RNAcentral.
AGUGAACGCUGGCGGUAGGCCUAACACAUGCAAGUCGAACGGCAGCACAGUAAGAGCUUGCUCUUACGGGUGGCGAGUUGCUGACGGGUGAGGAAUACAUCGGAAUCUACUUUUUCGUGGGGGAUAACGUAGGGAAACUUACGCUAAUACCGCAUACGUCCUACGGGUGAAAGCAGGGGAUCUUCGGACCUUGCGCGAUUGAAUGAGCCGAUGUCGGAUUAGCUAGUUGGCGGGGUAAAGGCCCACCAAGGCGACGAUCCGUAGCUGGUCUGAGAGGAUGAUCAGCCACACUGGAACUGAGACACGGUCCAGACUCCUACGGGAGGCAGCAGUGGGGAAUAUUGGACAAUGGGCGCAAGCCUGAUCCAGCCAUACCGCGUGGGUGAAGAAGGCCUUCGGGUUGUAAAGCCCUUUUGUUGGGAAAGAAAAGCAGCAGGUUAAUACCCCGCUGUUCUGACGGUACCCAAAGAAUAAGCACCGGCUAACUUCGUG